This 264-nucleotide ribosomal RNA is filed under the name Pseudomonas oryzihabitans. Its description in RNAcentral is "partial 16S ribosomal RNA". It matches the Rfam family "Bacterial small subunit ribosomal RNA", at positions 50 to 307 of the family's 1533-position model. Lineage: Bacteria; Pseudomonadati; Pseudomonadota; Gammaproteobacteria; Pseudomonadales; Pseudomonadaceae. The record is from RNAcentral.
AGGGGGCGGCUACACAUGCAGUCGAGCGGAUGAGAGGAGCUUGCUCCUCGAUUCAGCGGCGGACGGGUGAGUAAUGCCUAGGAAUCUGCCUAGUAGUGGGGGACAACGUUUCGAAAGGAACGCUAAUACCGCAUACGUCCUACGGGAGAAAGUGGGGGAUCUUCGGACCUCACGCUAUUAGAUGAGCCUAGGUCGGAUUAGCUAGUUGGUAGGGUAAAGGCCUACCAAGGCGACGAUCCGUAACUGGUCUGAGAGGAUGAUCAG